AGAGAGAGAGAGAGAGCGAGAGAGGCUAGAAUACAAAUGAUAGUGAACUGUUUGAGAUUGUGGGUUUUAGAGAGAGAAAAUGGGGUGGGGGUUUAGUGGCCACUGAGAGAGGAUUUAGAGAAGAAGUGUAGAUUGUGGGAAUGCAAAUAAUGCGAUGCUCUUUGGAAGGACCGACAAAUUGGGUGAGAGAGACAGAGCAGAGGGGCCACCAAUUGGAGUAAUUCCACAAUUCCGCGGUGAUUUCAUAUCGAAAUAGGGG
This 259-nucleotide unclassified non-coding RNA is filed under the name Hevea brasiliensis (rubber tree). Lineage: Eukaryota; Viridiplantae; Streptophyta; Magnoliopsida; Malpighiales; Euphorbiaceae. The record is from RNAcentral.